Enhydra lutris kenyoni (northern sea otter) is the source of this 357-nucleotide long non-coding RNA. RefSeq lists it as uncharacterized. The record is from RefSeq and is a predicted model, not a curated record. Lineage: Eukaryota; Metazoa; Chordata; Mammalia; Carnivora; Mustelidae. The transcript has 3 exons.
AAGAGCUGAAUAUGAUGCGCAUAUCCUUGAUAAGGGUAACAAGACUAUCAGAAGACCUCAGAAUGAAUUCUUGUUCAAGUUGUUUUUCAGGCAGUCCCUGACCUCUACAUCUUAGACCUCAGCAUAAAGGACAACAAAGAAUGUCAGGAAAUGGCAAAUGACAAGACCUGCCAGCUACCAGCUUGAGAGAAGUCAGGGACCUGCAGGAUGUCAUUCCAGGCAUGCUGGUGAGGGAAAAAAAAAAGUGCUUUGCCGAAUCCCAAAGGAGAUGUACUUUACUAGUCACAGUUUACCGAUGAAGUAAUGGAGACUCAAAAACCUCAACCGCAGAAGUUCAUCUAAAAACUCUUUGAUCUA